This is a long non-coding RNA of Dendronephthya gigantea, 218 nucleotides long. RefSeq lists it as uncharacterized. NCBI's taxonomy places the organism in Eukaryota, Metazoa, Cnidaria, Anthozoa, Malacalcyonacea, Nephtheidae. The transcript is spliced from 3 exons. The record is from RefSeq and is a predicted model, not a curated record.
UGUCUUAAAAUGCUAAAAAUGGCUUCCUAAGACUAAUAUCUUUCAUUUUAGAGCACAUUUGUUCGGUUUUUGGAACACUUAAAAAGUGAUCAAAAUUGGCCAAAACGAGCGUAUUUGGUCGGUUUCUGGAAUGCUCAAAAAAUGGUCAAAAUUGGCCAAAACGAGCACAUUGGUCGGUUUCUGGAAUGCUCAAAAAGUGGUCAAAAUUGGCCAAAACG